GCGCAGCAGUCGCGAAAACUCCGCAAUACGCGAAAGCGUGACGGGGCCAUCCCGAGUGUCGUCCGCUGAGGAUGGCUUUUCCCCGGUGUAGAUAGCUGGGGGAAUAAGGAGAGGGCAAGUCUGGUGUCAGCCGCCGCGGUAAUACCAGCUCUCCGAGUGGUAGGGAUGUUUAUUGGGCCUGAAGCGUCCGUAGCUGGCUGAACAAGUCCUCCGUUAAAUCCAGCGAUUUAAUCGUUGGAUUGCGGGGGAUACUGCUGAGCUAGGAGGUGGGAGAGGCCGACGGUAUUCUCGGAGUAGGGGUGAAAUCCUAUAAUCCCGGGAGGACCACCAGUGGCGAAGGCUGUUGGCUAGAACGCGCCCGACAGUGAGGGAUGAAAGCUGGGGGAGCGAACCGGAUUAGAUACCCGGGUAGUCC
This 415-nucleotide ribosomal RNA is filed under the name uncultured crenarchaeote. RNAcentral's name for it is "partial 16S ribosomal RNA". It matches the Rfam family "Archaeal small subunit ribosomal RNA", at positions 330 to 747 of the family's 1478-position model. The record is from RNAcentral. Lineage: Archaea; Thermoproteati; Thermoproteota.